GAUGAACGCUGGCGGCGUGCCUAAUACAUGCAAGUCGAGCGAACAGAUGAGGAGCUUGCUCCUCUGACGUUAGCGGUGGACGGGUGAGUAACACGUGGAUAACCUACCUAUAAGACUGGGAUAACUUCGGGAAACCGGAGCUAAUACCGGAUAAUAUAUUGAACCGCAUGGUUCAAUAGUGAAGGACGGUUUUGCUGUCACUUAUAGAUGGAUCCGCGCCGCAUUAGCUAGUUGGUAAGGUAACGGCUUACCAAGGCAACGAUGCGUAGCCGACCUGAGAGGGUGAUCGGCCACACUGGAACUGAGACACGGUCCAGACUCCUACGGGAGGCAGCAGUAGGGAAUCUUCCGCAAUGGGCGAAAGCCUGACGGAGCAACGCCGCGUGAGUGAUGAAGGUCUUCGGAUCGUAAAACUCUGUUAUUAGGGAAGAACAAAUGUGUAAGUAACUAUGCACGUCUUGACGGUACCUAAUCAGAAAGCCACGGCUAACUACGUG
Molecule: ribosomal RNA, 497 nt
Filed under: uncultured bacterium
Lineage: Bacteria
Description: partial 16S ribosomal RNA
Rfam family: Bacterial small subunit ribosomal RNA
Source: RNAcentral